RNAcentral lists this ribosomal RNA (208 nucleotides) under Aeromonas veronii bv. veronii. Its description in RNAcentral is "partial 23S ribosomal RNA". It matches the Rfam family "Bacterial large subunit ribosomal RNA", at positions 1112 to 1319 of the family's 2925-position model. The record is from RNAcentral. Lineage: Bacteria; Pseudomonadati; Pseudomonadota; Gammaproteobacteria; Aeromonadales; Aeromonadaceae.
GCAGCCAUCAUUUAAAGAAAGCGUAAUAGCUCACUAGUCGAGUCGGCCUGCGCGGAAGAUGUAACGGGGCUCAAACCAGGCACCGAAGCCGCGGAUUCAUACUUAUGUAUGAGUGGUAGGGGAGCGUUCUGUAAGUCUGCGAAGGUGUAUCGAGAGGUAUGCUGGAGAUAUCAGAAGUGCGAAUGCUGACGUAAGUAACGAUAAAGGG